RNAcentral lists this ribosomal RNA (253 nucleotides) under uncultured bacterium. RNAcentral describes it as "partial 16S ribosomal RNA". It matches the Rfam family "Bacterial small subunit ribosomal RNA", at positions 524 to 776 of the family's 1533-position model. The record is from RNAcentral.
UACGUAGGGUGCAAGCGUUGUCCGGAAUUAUUGGGCGUAAAGAGCUCGUAGGCGGUUUGUCGCGUCGGGAGUGAAAACCCAGGGCUUAACCCUGGGCUGGCUUCCGAUACGGGCAGACUAGAGGUAUGCAGGGGAGAACGGAAUUCCUGGUGUAGCGGUGAAAUGCGCAGAUAUCAGGAGGAACACCGGUGGCGAAGGCGGUUCUCUGGGCAUUACCUGACGCUGAGGAGCGAAAGUGUGGGGAGCGAACAGG